Molecule: ribosomal RNA, 556 nt
Filed under: methanogenic archaeon CA52
Lineage: Archaea; Methanobacteriati; Methanobacteriota; Methanomicrobia; Methanomicrobiales
Description: bacterial SSU rRNA
Rfam family: Archaeal small subunit ribosomal RNA
Source: RNAcentral
UUCCGGUUGAUCCCGCCGGAGGCUAUUGCUAUCAGGGUUUGACUAAGCCAUGCGAGUCGAGAGGUGAAAGACCUCGGCAUACUGCUCAGUAACACGUGGAUAAUCUGCCCUCAGAUGAGGAAUAAUCCCGGGAAACUGGGGCUAUGCCUCAUAGGAGACGGGUGCUGGAAUGCUCUGUCUCUGAAAGGUCCGCCGUCUGAGGAUGAGUCUGCGUCCGAUUAGGUUGUUGUUGGGGUAACGGCCCACCAAGCCAUUGAUCGGUACGGGUUGUGGGAGCAAGAGCCCGGAGAUGGAUUCUGAGACAUGAAUCCAGGCCCUACGGGGCGCAGCAGGCGCGAAAACUUUACAAUGCGAGCAAUCGUGAUAAGGAAACCCUGAGUGCCUGUCAAUGCAGGCUGUUCUGGUGUUUAGUCCGCACCAGGAGAAAGGGCGGGGCAAGACCGGUGCCAGCCGCCGCGGUAAUACCGGCUGCUCGAGUGAUAGCCACUUUUACUGGGCUUAAAGCGUUCGUAGCUUGGUCGUUAAGUCUCUGGGGAAAUCUUCUGGCUUAACCAGA